This 370-nucleotide ribosomal RNA is filed under the name uncultured bacterium. RNAcentral describes it as "bacterial SSU rRNA". It matches the Rfam family "Bacterial small subunit ribosomal RNA", at positions 151 to 507 of the family's 1533-position model. The record is from RNAcentral.
CGGAAACGGAUGCUAAAACCGCAUAGGUCUUCGAACCGCAUGGUUUGAAGAGGAAAAGAGGCGCAAGCUUCUGCUGAUGGAUGGACCCGCGGUGCAUUAGCUAGUUGGUGAGGUAACGGCUCACCAAGGCCGUGAUGCAUAGCCGACCUGAGAGGGUGAUCGGCCACAUUGGGACUGAGACACGGCCCAAACUCCUACGGGAGGCAGCAGUAGGGAAUCUUCCGCAAUGGACGCAAGUCUGACGGAGCAACGCCGCGUGAGUGAAGAAGGUUUUCGGAUCGUAAAACUCUGUUGUUAGAGAAGAACAAGUGCUAGAGUAACUGUUAGCGCCUUGACGGUAUCUAACCAGAAAGCCACGGCUAACUACGUG